GGCCUAGAAGGAAGUAAAGGUCCAGUUUUACUUUUGUCCACUUCUUAUGUCAGGAAUCUCACUAUUUUCAAUAUUUUUUUUCUUUAAUCGUUAAGCAUCUUUUCUCGUUUUAUAAUAACUCAGGUCUUGUAGCAUCACUACCAUCUUAAAUCUAGAUAGAACUUCCUCCUCACAGUUAUGGUUUGUGUAACUUUAAAGAGAUGAGAGGAAAAGGGAGUUAAAAUUGGAGGAAGGUUUAGGCAUGGGGGUGUAGGAAAGAAAAUGUAAUAACAUAUGCAGUUAUGCUAUGUUGUUUUUUCUUACCUACACCUCCCAUACCUAUGCUUUUCUUCUAUUUCUCCCUCUUCCCUUACUUUCUGCACCCUUCUCGAUUUGUUGCAUGCGAAGAAACUAAAGUUUAGGGAACCUUGUUGAACUGAUUAGGGAAGCUGAGCGUUAUUUCCAUGAAAGAUGACGAUUACUACAAACACAAAAAGUGAUGGUCGGAAACAAUAUUUGACCGCUGAAAGAGUACAAUGUACCCUAAGAUGAAGAAUCCCAUUCAAGUAUUGUUCGUCCUGCCAUACCAGCGAAUAACUUUGUGGUAAAACCCUCAUUGUUGUCCAUGGUAUAACAAAACCAAUUUUCUGGUUCGCCAACGGAAGAUCUGAAUUUACAUCUUUCGGUCUUUUUCAAUUUCUGUAAAAUUCUUCCUAUAAUUAUAAGAUGUAGAAGGGAUGACACAUCAUCAAGUAUAAUGGACAUUUCACCAAUUAGAAGAUGAAAUGAUGAUGUCUCAAA
Molecule: long non-coding RNA, 780 nt
Organism: Vicia villosa (hairy vetch)
Lineage: Eukaryota; Viridiplantae; Streptophyta; Magnoliopsida; Fabales; Fabaceae
Exons: 2
Source: RefSeq, a predicted model, not a curated record